This 252-nucleotide ribosomal RNA is filed under the name uncultured bacterium. RNAcentral's name for it is "partial 16S ribosomal RNA". It matches the Rfam family "Bacterial small subunit ribosomal RNA", at positions 524 to 776 of the family's 1533-position model. The record is from RNAcentral.
UACGUAGGGUGCAAGCGUUAAUCGGAAUUACUGGGCGUAAAGCGUGCGUAGACGGCUAUCUAAGUCGGGUGUGAAAGCCCCGGGCUCAACCUGGGAAUUGCAUUCGAGACUGAAUAGCUAGGGUACGGUAGAGGGAAGUGGAAUUUCCGGUGUAGCGGUGAAAUGCGUAGAUAUCGGAAGGAACAUCAGUGGCGAAAGCGACUUCCUGGACCAGUACCGACGUCAGGCACGAAAGCGUGGGGAGCAAACAGG